GACGUCAAGUCCUCAUGGCCUUUAUGUCCAGGGCUACACACGUGCUACAAUGGUCGGUACAAACCGUCGCAAACCUGCGAAGGGGAGCUAAUCGGAAAAAGCCGGCCUCAGUUCGGAUUGGUCUUUCUCGUUUCGACUCCAUGAAGCUGGAAUCGCUAGUAAUCGCGGAUCAGCACGCCGCGGUGAAUACGUUCCCGGGUAAUUUCUCACCGCCCGUCACAUCACGAAAGUGGACUGCAUAUCCCCCAUAAGCCAACCGCAAGGGGGCAGCCGUCCAAGGUA
RNAcentral lists this ribosomal RNA (282 nucleotides) under uncultured Acidobacteriota bacterium. Its description in RNAcentral is "uncultured Acidobacteria bacterium partial 16S ribosomal RNA". It matches the Rfam family "Bacterial small subunit ribosomal RNA", at positions 1181 to 1464 of the family's 1533-position model. The record is from RNAcentral. Lineage: Bacteria; Pseudomonadati; Acidobacteriota.